UGCGUGGUCGACCUAAAACCUUCAAGUC
Molecule: non-coding RNA, 28 nt
Filed under: Mus musculus (house mouse)
Lineage: Eukaryota; Metazoa; Chordata; Mammalia; Rodentia; Muridae
Source: RNAcentral